Molecule: ribosomal RNA, 480 nt
Filed under: uncultured bacterium
Lineage: Bacteria
Description: partial 16S ribosomal RNA
Rfam family: Bacterial small subunit ribosomal RNA
Source: RNAcentral
GACGAACGCUGGCGGCGUGCUUAACACAUGCAAGUCGAACGGAAAGGCCUGCUUUCCCUUGUGGAUUGCGGGUACUCGCGUGGCGAACGGGUGAGUAACACGUGAGUGAUCUGCCCCCAACUUGGGAAUAAGCCUGGGAAACUGCGUCUAAUUCCCGAUAGGACUGCAGGGUGGUGCCUGUGGUGGAAAACGAUUUUCUGGUGGUUGGGGAUGAGCUCGCGGCCUAUCAGCUUGUUGGUGGGGUAAUGGCCUACCAAGGCGGCGACGGGUAGCCGGCCUGAGAGGGUGAACGGCCACAUUGGGACUGAGACACGGCCCAGACUCCUACGGGAGGCAGCAGUGGGGAAUAUUGGACAAUGGGCGGAAGCCUGAUCCAGCAACGCCGCGUGAGGGAUGACGGCCUUCGGGUUGUAAACCUCUUUCAGUACCGACGAAGCGCAAGUGACGGUAGGUACAGAAGAAGCACCGGCCAACUACGUG